UAACAAGGAUUCCCCUAGUAACUGCGAGUGAAGCGGGAAAAGCUCAAAUUUAAAAUCUGGCGGCUUUGGUCGUCCGAGUUGUAUUCUAGAGAAGGGUUUUCCGCGCUGGACCGUGUACAAGUCUCUUGGAACAGAGCGUCAUAGAGGGUGAGAAUCCCGUCUUUGACACGGACUACCAGUGCUUUGUGAUGCGCUCUCAAAGAGUCGAGUUGUUUGGGAAUGCAGCUCAAAAUGGGUGGUAAAUUCCAUCUAAAGCUAAAUAUUGGCGAGAGACCGAUAGCGAACAAGUACCGUGAGGGAAAGAUGAAAAGCACUUUGGAAAGAGAGUUAAACAGUACGUGAAAUUGCUGAAAGGGAAACGCUUGAAGUCAGUCGCGUUGGUUAGAACUCAACCAGGCUUGCUUGGUGCAUUUUCUAUUCAACGGGCCAGCAUCAGUUUUGACUGUAGGAAAAAGAUCAGAGAAAUGUGGCACCUUCGGGUGUGUUAUAGUCUUUGGUUGCAUACUAUGGUUGGGACUGAGGAUCUCAGCACGCAUCUGUUGUGCUUAGGAUGCUGGCGUAAUGGCUUUAAACGAC
Molecule: ribosomal RNA, 576 nt
Filed under: Phanerochaetella angustocystidiata
Lineage: Eukaryota; Fungi; Basidiomycota; Agaricomycetes; Polyporales; Irpicaceae
Description: eukaryotic LSU rRNA
Rfam family: Eukaryotic large subunit ribosomal RNA
Source: RNAcentral